RNAcentral lists this long non-coding RNA (327 nucleotides) under Zonotrichia albicollis (white-throated sparrow). RNAcentral's name for it is "lncRNA (ENSZALG00000003476.1)". The record is from RNAcentral. Lineage: Eukaryota; Metazoa; Chordata; Aves; Passeriformes; Passerellidae.
GAUGUCUUUUAAAGACCACCACUCCAGCGAACCAUGAAAAGGGCUUGCUAAUGGACAUGGUGAGGUCUUGCAUCCAUUAAAUUCAUUGCAAAGGAGAAGCUAAGUGCUUUCCAGAUAUUAUUCGAUUUCUGGGUUUGUCUCCCUCAACCCCGUGUCAACAAUGACCAGAGGCUGGAUGAACAGAAGAAUUAAUUUCUGACAGUCAGUCCCACUUUCUCCUGUAAUGUAAUAUUUUACUGUAUUGGGGUUUUUGGCCCCUCAGGGGAAUAGUUUCAAUAAGAAAACAUUGACAUUUCAGAAAAGAGUUAUUCUUUCUUUUUAUUUGAC